UCUUGAAACACGGACCAAGGAGUCUAACAUGUGCGCGAGUCAUUGGGAACUCAUAAGCCUAAAGGCGCAAUGAAAGUGAAGGUCGGCCUUGCGCCGACCGAGGGAGGAUGGGCCGCGUCACGAUGCGGUCCCGCACUCCCGGGGCGUCUCGCUCUCAUUGCGAGAAGAGGCGCACCCAGAGCGUACACGUUGGGACCCGAAAGAUGGUGAACUAUGCCUGGUCAGGACGAAGUCAGGGGAAACCCUGAUGGAGGUCCGUAGCGAUUCUGACGUGCAAAUCGAUCGUCGGAACUGGGUAUAGGGCGAAAGACUAAUCGAACCAUCUAGUAGCUGGUUCCCUCCGAAGUUUCCCUCAGGAUAGCUGGCACUCGUGUGUUCUUACUGAACUUAUGCGAGUCUCAUCUGGUAAAGCGAAUGAUUAGAGGCCUUGGGGUCGAAACGACCUCAACCUAUUCUCAAACUUUAAAUGGGUGAGAUCUCUGGCUUGCUUGAACGUUGAAGCCACGAGAUUUCGGAUCAGAGUGCCAAGUGGGCCAAUUUUGGUAAGCAGAACUGGCGC
This 559-nucleotide ribosomal RNA is filed under the name Lymeon orbus. RNAcentral's name for it is "eukaryotic LSU rRNA". It matches the Rfam family "Eukaryotic large subunit ribosomal RNA", at positions 652 to 1156 of the family's 3401-position model. Lineage: Eukaryota; Metazoa; Arthropoda; Insecta; Hymenoptera; Ichneumonidae. The record is from RNAcentral.